This 206-nucleotide ribosomal RNA is filed under the name uncultured bacterium. Its description in RNAcentral is "partial 16S ribosomal RNA". It matches the Rfam family "Bacterial small subunit ribosomal RNA", at positions 568 to 774 of the family's 1533-position model. The record is from RNAcentral.
CGCGUAGGCGGCCGUUUAAGUCGGGGUGAAAGCCUGUGGCUCAACCACAGAAUUGCCUUCGAUACUGGACGGCUUGAGUAUGGUAGAGGUUGGUGGAACUGCGAGUGUAGAGGUGAAAUUCGUAGAUAUUCGCAAGAACACCGGUGGCGAAGGCGGCCAACUGGACCAUUACUGACGCUGAGGCGCGAAAGCGUGGGGAGCAAACA